GUUGACCUCGGAUCAGGUAGGGACACCCGCUGAACUUAAGCAUAUCAAUAAGCGGAGGA
This 59-nucleotide ribosomal RNA is filed under the name Leotia atrovirens. RNAcentral's name for it is "partial 28S ribosomal RNA". It matches the Rfam family "Eukaryotic large subunit ribosomal RNA", at positions 1 to 57 of the family's 3401-position model. The record is from RNAcentral. Lineage: Eukaryota; Fungi; Ascomycota; Leotiomycetes; Leotiales; Leotiaceae.